CCUACGGGGGCAGCAGUGGGGAAUAUUGGACAAUGGGCGAAAGCCUGAUCCAGCCAUGCCGCGUGUGUGAAGAAGGCCUUCGGGUUGUAAAGCACUUUCAGUGGGGAAGAAAGCCUUGGGGCUAAUACCCUCGAGGAAGGACAUCACCCACAGAAGAAGCACCGGCUAACUCCGUGCCAGCAGCCGCGGUAAUACGGAGGGUGCGAGCGUUAAUCGGAAUUACUGGGCGUAAAGCGCGCGUAGGCGGUCUGAUAAGCCGGUUGUGAAAGCCCCGGGCUCAACCUGGGAACGGCAUCUGGAACUGUCAGGCUAGAGUGCAGGAGAGGAAGGUAGAAUUCCCGGUGUAGCGGUGAAAUGCGUAGAGAUCGGGAGGAAUACCAGUGGCGAAGGCGGCCUUCUGGACUGACACUGACGCUGAGGUGUGAAAGCGUGGGUAGCAAACAGGAUUAGAUACCCGAGUAGUC
Molecule: ribosomal RNA, 464 nt
Filed under: Vreelandella stevensii
Lineage: Bacteria; Pseudomonadati; Pseudomonadota; Gammaproteobacteria; Oceanospirillales; Halomonadaceae
Description: partial 16S ribosomal RNA
Rfam family: Bacterial small subunit ribosomal RNA
Source: RNAcentral